GAGUUUGAUCCUGGCUCAGGACGAAAGCAGGCGGCGUGCCUAACACAUGCAAGUCGAACGGAGAACUCAAAAAGCUUGCUUUGAGAGUUCUUAGUGGCGGACGGGUGAGUAACGCGUGGGCAACCUCCCCCUUAAACCGGGACAACCCUUGGAAACGAGGGCUAAUACCGGAUACACUUUUCUGAGGACAUCCUCGGGAAAGGAAAGGCGGCCUCUGAAGAUGCUGCCGAUAAGGGAUGGACCCGCGUCUGAUUAGCUGGUUGGUGGGGUAAAGGCCUACUAAGGCGACGAUCAGUAGCCGGCCUGAGAGGGUGAACGGCCACACUGGGACUGAGACACGGCCCAGACUCCUACGGGAGGCAGCAGUGGGGAAUCUUCCGCAAUGGACGAAAGUCUGACGGAGCAACGCCGCGUGUAUGACGAAGGCCUUCGGGUUGUAAAGUACUGUCUUUAGGGACGAACGGUAUCUAUGUGAACAAUGUAGGUACAUGACGGUACCUAAGGAGGAAGCCCCGGCUAACUACGUGCCAGCAGCCGCGGUAAUACGUAGGGGGCGAGCGUUGUCCGGGAUCAUUGGGCGUAAAGGGCGCGUAGGCGGAUUUUUAAGUCUGGUGUGAAAACUUGGGGCUCAACCCCAAGCCUGCAUCGGAAACUGGGAAUCUUGAGGACAGGAGAGGAAAGUGGAAUUCCACGUGUAGCGGUGAAAUGCGUAGAGAU
RNAcentral lists this ribosomal RNA (717 nucleotides) under uncultured Desulfitobacterium sp. Its description in RNAcentral is "bacterial SSU rRNA". It matches the Rfam family "Bacterial small subunit ribosomal RNA", at positions 9 to 697 of the family's 1533-position model. Lineage: Bacteria; Bacillati; Bacillota; Clostridia; Eubacteriales; Desulfitobacteriaceae. The record is from RNAcentral.